UCAAACACUGUGGGCGUGAUUUCAAUAACGUGAGAUGGAAGAGAGGUUGCCUGUGCUUGCUGGCAACAGUCACUUUCGGUCAUAGCUCUAUCGAUGUGACAUGUUUUUAGGAUGCCCUGGCAACACCAGCCAGUACGAAACCCCACAGAAGAAGAAAACCCCACAGAAGAAGAAAACACCCAGUGUGUGCGAGGAGUUUGUGGGAGGGGACUAUACAUUUCAGUGGAGGGGAUAUGGGGAGCUACUAGUAGCCAGCUAAUUAGCUAUUAUAUGUAGCUAGCUACUGGUAGGUUAGAUAGAUAGCUCGUAGCUAGCUGGCUAUGAAGAGGCACUAUUGGCUAACGUUACUGCCUAACGUUAGCUAGCUAGCCCACUGGCACUGGCUAGCUACCUUCACAACAAGACAUCAUCGUGGCACACCUUUAGCUCUCACACUGUGUGUGUGUCUCUCUCUCUGUCCGUCUGUUUGUCUGUUAUAGCAUGUCUGUGUGUCCAUCUAUCUGUUUAGGAGUUCCAGAUAUGGCUGCAGGAGAGUAGUGGCGUACAACACUGGAGGGCAUYUUCACUGAGCAAUGAGCACAUGUAGGCAACCCCAGCAGGUCGUCCAGCAGACGCUGCCCCCUCCUGUCUUCCAGUUGAUGCUGACCAAGCUGCACACCAUCACAGCAGCACCUAACCCAAACCCUUUCCCUACCCCUUACCCUAAACCGGGUUUGUAUCCUAACCCAACCCCACCCCUUAUCCUAAACCGGGUUCGUAUCCAAAUCCCAACCCUACCCUCCCCAUACACUGAUACAUCACACUCUUUCCCUUCUUUGAGCCCACCCCUCUCUUUAUUUAUGGUUUUGUUUAGACUGAUUUUGUUUUGACUCCUAUUUUUUCUUUUUCUUCAUUUUUACCAUUUUAAGAGUUGUAUAAGUCUUCUUMUUAUUAUUAUUAUUAUUAUCAUCAUCAUCAUCAGAUGGGUAAGGAUGUUCUCCCAUAGGAAGCAAGGGCUGGAGGGGCACCAAAAUGGCUGAAAGAUGCCUUCAUGCCCUGAUCUGCACUUUGCUAUUUCCCUUCCUGGACUAAAGUUCAAUGGAUUUGUACAAUUGGUUAGUCUAGUUCAAUGUUCUUAUUUCUUGCCUAAUGGGCAACAGUGUGAACAUUGUCAUCACUACCUUUGCUGUAACACCUCAUUGAACUACUCAAUAAGACCACUCUUGGGUAAAUUGAGUGAAUGAAUGAUUGGUUAUGACAACAUGCACUAAACCGGAACAUAUGGUUGUGAACAAUUAAAAACAGCAGGAUAUGUGAAUUAAAUUGUGACUAGUGCACUUCAUACGUUGUACAUUGAUAAUCUUUGUCUCCAUCCAUGCUAAYCCUUUUGCAUAAUUUGUGCUUCUUUUUCACAGACAGUUUUGAAUGAUGACCUCCAUAACUGACAAGAACCGAGAAGGAAUAUCAUCACCAAUGAUGCUACUAAUAUUUCUAACUGUACUGAUGAGGAAGAGGGAAGACAUCCAUUGUCGCUGAACUGCUUGACGUGUUCAGUCAAAAUUACAGUGCCACUUUCUUACCAGUAGUCACAUGUUCAAUAAGAAGUUCUAUACAAUACAGAAGUGUUUUUGCUCUAUAAUGAGGUUCUGCCAAUCAUAUGUUGGAAAACAUUAUCAAGAAAACCUACAGUAGCUGAACACUGAUAGUAACCUGUUUGUUGAACAACAGUGAUUCUAAGAACAAGAAUAGCUGGYACCUAUAGGACAAUGUAUCUAUCACAGGUCACCAAGGGUACAGUAAGGUAAAACCUUGAUAAAAUCAUUUGUGAUGCUUAAUUGUGCAUGCCUCUCAUUUUCCAACAACUUAAUAUGCAAUAAAGUUAUACCUAUGGCUUGCAUAACCAA
Long non-coding RNA from Salvelinus sp. IW2-2015, 1883 nucleotides. RefSeq lists it as uncharacterized. The record is from RefSeq and is a predicted model, not a curated record. NCBI's taxonomy places the organism in Eukaryota, Metazoa, Chordata, Actinopteri, Salmoniformes, Salmonidae.